Molecule: Y RNA, 102 nt
Organism: Callithrix jacchus (white-tufted-ear marmoset)
Lineage: Eukaryota; Metazoa; Chordata; Mammalia; Primates; Cebidae
Rfam family: Y RNA
About the family: Y RNAs are components of the Ro ribonucleoprotein particle (Ro RNP), in association with Ro60 and La proteins. The Y RNAs and Ro60 and La proteins are well conserved, but the function of the Ro RNP is not known.
Source: Ensembl
GGCUGGUCCAAAUGCAGUGGUGUGUACAACUAAUUGAUCAUAAUGAGCUACAGAUUUUUUUAUUCCUUCUCCACUUCUACUGCUUCCCUUGAUUUGCCUUUA